UACGGGGGGGGCAAGCGUUGUUCGGAAUUACUGGGCGUAAAGGGCUCGUAGGUGGCCAACUAAGUCAGACGUGAAAUCCCUCAGCUUAACUGGGGAACUGCGUCUGAUACUGGAUGGCUUGAGUUUGGGAGAGGGAUGCGGAAUUCCAGGUGUAGCGGUGAAAUGCGUAGAUAUCUGGAGGAAUACCGGUGGCGAAGGCGGCAUCCUGGACCGGCAUUGACGCUGAGGCGCGAAAGCUAGGGGAGCAAACGGG
RNAcentral lists this ribosomal RNA (253 nucleotides) under uncultured bacterium. RNAcentral describes it as "partial 16S ribosomal RNA". It matches the Rfam family "Bacterial small subunit ribosomal RNA", at positions 524 to 776 of the family's 1533-position model. The record is from RNAcentral.